This 497-nucleotide ribosomal RNA is filed under the name uncultured bacterium. RNAcentral describes it as "partial 16S ribosomal RNA". It matches the Rfam family "Bacterial small subunit ribosomal RNA", at positions 28 to 507 of the family's 1533-position model. The record is from RNAcentral.
GAUGAACGCUGGCGGCGUGCCUAAUACAUGCAAGUCGAGCGAACGGACGAGAAGCUUGCUUCUCUGAUGUUAGCGGCGGACGGGUGAGUAACACGUGGAUAACCUACCUAUAAGACUGGGAUAACUUCGGGAAACCGGAGCUAAUACCGGAUAAUAUUUUGAACCGCAUGGUUCAAAAGUGAAAGACGGUCUUGCUGUCACUUCUCGAUGGAUCCGAGCUGCUUUAGCUAGUUGGUAAGGUAACGGCUUUCCAAGGCAACGAUGCAUAGCCGACGUGAGGGGGUGAUCGGCCACACUGGAAGUGAGACACGGACCUGACUCCUACGGGAGGGAGCAGAAUGGAAUGUGACGCAAUGGUGGAAAGCCUUACGGAGCAACGCCGCGUGAGUUAUGAAGGUCUUCGGAUCGUAAAACUCGGUUAUUAGGGAAGAACAUAUGUGGAAGGAACUGUGCACAUCUUGACGGUACUUAAUCAGAAAGCCACGGCUAACUACGUG